AACGACUCUCGGCAACGGAUAUCUCGGCUCACGCAUCGAUGAAGAACGUAGCAAAAUGCGAUACUUGGUGUGAAUUGCAGAAUCCCGUGAACCAUCGAGUUUUUGAACGCAAGUUGCGCCCGAAGCCUUUUGGCUGAGGGCACGUCUGCCUGGGCGUCACACAU
This 164-nucleotide ribosomal RNA is filed under the name Senecio graciliflorus. Its description in RNAcentral is "5.8S ribosomal RNA". It matches the Rfam family "5.8S ribosomal RNA". Rfam says of the family: 5.8S ribosomal RNA (5.8S rRNA) is a component of the large subunit of the eukaryotic ribosome. It is transcribed by RNA polymerase I as part of the 45S precursor that also contains 18S and 28S rRNA. Functionally, it is thought that 5.8S rRNA may be involved in ribosome translocation. RNAcentral also lists the same sequence under 1 other name. Lineage: Eukaryota; Viridiplantae; Streptophyta; Magnoliopsida; Asterales; Asteraceae. The record is from RNAcentral.